GACGAACGCUGGCGGCGUGCUUAACACAUGCAAGUCGAACGGAAAGGCACUGCUUUUGUGGGGUGCUCGAGUGGCGAACGGGUGAGUAACACGUGAGUAACCUGCCCUUGACUUUGGGAUAACUUCAGGAAACUGGGGCUAAUACCGGAUAGGAGCUCCUGUUGCAUGGUGGGGGUUGGAAAGUUUCGGCGGUUGGGGAUGGACUCGCGGCUUAUCAGCUUGUUGGUGGGGUAGUGGCUUACCAAGGCUUUGACGGGUAGCCGGCCUGUGAGGGUGACCGGCCACAUUGGGACUGAGAGACGGCCCAGACUCCUACGGGAGGCAGCAGUGGGGAAUAUUGCACAGUGGGCGGAAGCCUGAUGCAGCAACGCCGCGUGCGGGAUGACGGCCUUCGGGUUGUAAACCGCAUUCGCCUGUGACGAAGCGUGAGUGACGGUAAUGAGUAAAGAAGCACCGGCUAACUACGUG
This 468-nucleotide ribosomal RNA is filed under the name uncultured bacterium. Its description in RNAcentral is "partial 16S ribosomal RNA". It matches the Rfam family "Bacterial small subunit ribosomal RNA", at positions 28 to 507 of the family's 1533-position model. The record is from RNAcentral.